UUUGCCCGUCAGGCCCUCGUUUUUUCGGCUGUAAAGAAAACUGCAAGAGCUCUCGGCGAAGCACUAUUCAGUGCAGAACUUGGUAAACCAAUUGGACAGAUCACCAUGGAAAGUCCAGUAAAGGUAAUAGAUCAGAUGAUUCGAGACCCAAAUGGAGAAAUGGAUGGGUGCUUGUGACUGCAUUAUAACCAAAGCUGGACUUGGAACAAUUGCGGAGGCCUUGAUAAGGGGCCUUCCAAUCAUGAAGCAAUGGCUAGGCAGUUGUAUUGCAGGCUCUGGUGUUGUGUUGGUGCAGUCGGUGUGUCCAAGGGCUAGAAAGGUUUUACUAAAACAAAAGUGUUGUUAGAUUUUUAAUUUUUUUGGUGUUGAAGUUCUGUAAAACUGAUCUUAUGUAGUAACAAACAACAGAUCUUGUCUUUUUUUUAAGAAAUGAUGUAAAUGAUCUAUGUGAUAUCAUAAAACUUGAUUCAGUUUUUAAUUUGGUUCA
Molecule: long non-coding RNA, 487 nt
Organism: Papaver somniferum (opium poppy)
Lineage: Eukaryota; Viridiplantae; Streptophyta; Magnoliopsida; Ranunculales; Papaveraceae
Exons: 3
Source: RefSeq, a predicted model, not a curated record